RNAcentral lists this non-coding RNA (46 nucleotides) under Schistosoma haematobium. Lineage: Eukaryota; Metazoa; Platyhelminthes; Trematoda; Strigeidida; Schistosomatidae. The record is from RNAcentral.
GCACUGCUGAAGAGUCCCAUACUAGGACGAACCGUCCGUCCAGUGC